CUUUCUUUGCUGGCGACCGGCGCACGGGUGAGUAACACGUAUCCAACCUGCCCUUUACUCGGGGAUAGCCUUUCGAAAGAGAGAUUAAUACCCGAUAGUAUAAUGAUUCCGCAUGGUUUCAUUAUUAAAGGAUUCCGGUAAAGGAUGGGGAUGCGUUCCAUUAGGUUGUUGGUGAGGUAACGGCUCACCAAGCCUUCGAUGGAUAGGGGUUCUGAGAGGAAGGUCCCCCACAUUGGAACUGAGACACGGUCCAA
This 254-nucleotide ribosomal RNA is filed under the name uncultured bacterium. Its description in RNAcentral is "partial 16S ribosomal RNA". It matches the Rfam family "Bacterial small subunit ribosomal RNA", at positions 79 to 334 of the family's 1533-position model. The record is from RNAcentral.